This 78-nucleotide transfer RNA is filed under the name Bacteroidota bacterium. RNAcentral's name for it is "Bacteroidetes bacterium (marine metagenome) tRNA-Pro". It matches the Rfam family "tRNA". Rfam says of the family: Transfer RNA (tRNA) molecules are approximately 80 nucleotides in length. The record is from RNAcentral. Lineage: Bacteria; Pseudomonadati; Bacteroidota.
CGGGAUGUAGCGCAGUCAGGCCAGCGCACUACGUUCGGGACGUAGGGGUCGGGAGUUCGAAUCUCCCCAUCCCGACAA